RNAcentral lists this ribosomal RNA (779 nucleotides) under uncultured Lactobacillus sp. RNAcentral describes it as "bacterial SSU rRNA". It matches the Rfam family "Bacterial small subunit ribosomal RNA", at positions 28 to 776 of the family's 1533-position model. Lineage: Bacteria; Bacillati; Bacillota; Bacilli; Lactobacillales; Lactobacillaceae. The record is from RNAcentral.
GACGAACGCUGGCGGCGUGCCUAAUACAUGCAAGUCGAACGAAACUUUCUUACACCGAAUGUUUGCAUUCACCGUAAGAAGUUGAGUGGCGGACGGGUGAGUAACACGUGGGUAACCUGCCUAAAAGAAGGGGAUAACACUUGGAAACAGGUGCUAAUACCGUAUAUCUCUAAGGAUCGCAUGAUCCUUAGAUGAAAGAUGGUUCUGCUAUCGCUUUUAGAUGGACCCGCGGCGUAUUAACUAGUUGGUGGGGUAACGGCCUACCAAGGUGAUGAUACGUAGCCGAACUGAGAGGUUGAUCGGCCACAUUGGGACUGAGACACGGCCCAAACUCCUACGGGAGGCAGCAGUAGGGAAUCUUCCACAAUGGACGCAAGUCUGAUGGAGCAACGCCGCGUGAGUGAAGAAGGUCUUCGGAUCGUAAAACUCUGUUGUUAAAGAAGAACACGAGUGAGAGUAACUGUUCAUUCGAUGACGGUAUCUAACCAGCAAGUCACGGCUAACUACGUGCCAGCAGCCGCGGUAAUACGUAGGUGGCAAGCGUUGUCCGGAUUUAUUGGGCGUAAAGGGAACGCAGGCGGUCUUUUAAGUCUGAUGUGAAAGCCUUCGGCUUAACCGGAGUAGUGCAUUGGAAACUGGAAGACUUGAGUGCAGAAGAGGAGAGUGGAACUCCAUGUGUAGCGGUGAAAUGCGUAGAUAUAUGGAAGAACACCAGUGGCGAAAGCGGCUCUCUGGUCUGUAACUGACGCUGAGGUUCGAAAGCGUGGGUAGCAAACAGG